Long non-coding RNA from Gopherus evgoodei (Goodes thornscrub tortoise), 760 nucleotides. RefSeq lists it as uncharacterized. Lineage: Eukaryota; Metazoa; Chordata; Testudines; Testudinidae. The transcript is spliced from 3 exons. The record is from RefSeq and is a predicted model, not a curated record.
GAAGAGGGACAUGGCCAUCGAGGCGGGCAAACAGCACAGCGAUCACCCUGGACCAAUUAUAUUCUCCAGUCACGGAUAUUGACAGCUUCCUCAUUGGGACUACAGAGCAGCUCCACGGAACGCUUGAGGUGGCAGCUUCAUUAUACCAUGCAACGACUGAAGUCUUUGAGCAAUUCUUCACAUGCAGAAGCAUUUUUCCUGCAAGAUGGAUACCUCUGACAUUGGCCUCAGGGGAGCGUGUCCUCCCAAGCGGUAGAGGGAGAAGAACACCCAGUCCUUUACCUCAGCCAGAAAUUGUUCGGCCAGGAAGUUGUGUACUCAGUAAUAGAGGAGGCGGUCUUGGCAGUACAAUAGGCUAUUGAAGCACUCUGCUACUACUUAUGCGGACAGACAUUCCAUCUCAUGAUGGAUCAUGCACUCCUGUGGUGGCUGAACACCAUGAAAGACCAGAACCGGCGGAUUAUAAACUGGUACCUCAAUGCCGCUGUACAAGUUUGAGGUACUACAGUGAGUGGGACGUGAUCAUAAGAGCAUGGGAGUUCUUUUCAUGGGACGGAGGAGACCCGUCUGCACAGACUCCAGUGCCCAGCUUGAGGAGGAGAGUAUGUGAUGGAGUUUUUUACAGACCCGACACCAAGGUUAAAGGAGUACUGGAGCAGUAUUGGCCAAGAAUGCCCUGACCCCUCUGCAGCUGCUGGGCAUGCUUCCUAUCCUGUGGAGGACCUGCUUAAAAGGGAGCUCUGGCAGCUAGGUGAGCAGG